UAGGGAAUAUUGCACAAUGGAGGCAACUCUGAUGCAGCGACGCCGCGUGAGUGAUGAAGGCCUUCGGGUCGUAAAGCUCUGUCGCAGGGGAAUAACACAAUGAAGGUACCCUGUAAGAAAGGAUCGGCUAACUUCGUGCCAGCAGCCGCGGUAAGACGAGGGAUCCUAGCGUUGUUCGGAAUUAUUGGGCGUAAAGCGGGUGUAGGUGGACUUGUAAGUCAGAAGUGAAAGCCUAGGGCUUAACCCUAGAAGUGCUUUUGAUACUGCGAGUCUUGAGUGCUGGAGAGGCUAUUAGAAUUCUUGGUGUAGUGGUGAAAUACGUAGAUAUCAAGAGGAAUACCGGAGGCGAAGGCGGAUAGCUGGCCAGACACUGACACUGAGACCCGAAAGCGUGGGGAUC
Molecule: ribosomal RNA, 400 nt
Filed under: uncultured bacterium
Lineage: Bacteria
Description: bacterial SSU rRNA
Rfam family: Bacterial small subunit ribosomal RNA
Source: RNAcentral